RNAcentral lists this ribosomal RNA (497 nucleotides) under uncultured bacterium. RNAcentral's name for it is "partial 16S ribosomal RNA". It matches the Rfam family "Bacterial small subunit ribosomal RNA", at positions 28 to 507 of the family's 1533-position model. The record is from RNAcentral.
GAUGAACGCUGGCGGCGUGCCUAAUACAUGCCAGUCGAGCGAACGGACGAGAAGCUUGCUUCUCUGAUGUUAGCGGCGGACGGGUGAGUAACACGUGGAUAACCUACCUAUAAGACUGGGAUAACUUCGGGAAACCGGAGCUAAUACCGGAUGAUAUUUUGAACCGCAUGGUUCAAAAGUGAAAGACGGUCUUGCUGUCACUUAUAGAUGGAUCCGCGCUGCAUUAGCUAGUUGGUAAGGUAACGGCUUACCAAGGCAACGAUGCAUAGCCGACCUGAGAGGGUGAGCAGCCACACUGGAACUGAGACACGGUCCAGACUCCUACGGGAGACAGCAGUAGGGAAUCUUCCGCAAUGGGCGAAAGCCUGACGGAGCAACGCCGCGUGAGUGAUGAAGGUCUUCGGAUCGUAAAACUCUGUUAUUAGGGAAGAACAUAUGUGUAAGUAACUGUGCACAUCUUGACGGUACCUAAUCAGAAAGCCACGGCUAACUACGUG